GCUCAGAGUAUAAGCCAAUGGAGCUUGGAAGGCUUCCGCAGAUGGUGUCCAUCAUACGUGGUGUUCUUAAGACCUUGAGUGUGGCUCGUGAAGCGAAGCAUUGAGUUUGCCGACCAGCUGUCGUGCGGGGGGUUCAGCUUGGAAGGGUUGGGUUUCGGUCCAACAGUUUUCCUUCUGUCCCCUUUUGAAUGGACGUUCAGAGCUCUUGGUCUAAUGCGGUUAUGCCCACCACAGCACGUUGUGAGGUCACCCACAGGCUCAAACUGCCGAUCGCGCAUCCAGGACGAUGGCAACGAUGCGUUGUCGAUGAUGGCUCGAGAGAGACUUCACUCACACGCGUGUCUAGUCCUGGGUCGGGCGGCGACCGAGAUAAACCUGGUACGAUCCUCUUGCGACGAGCUGCUUUCUGGCCAGACCGACGCCCAGACGCCUCCACUGUGCCGGAAGCGUCAACCCCAGGCGGUGUGAACCCAGCUGCAUUAUGCAAGGUCUCUCAGCCGGGCGUUGGUCUGAGUGGUGUUAAGUCCAGCACCAUCGGUCACGUCUCGAAACACGGGCCAAGGAGUAUAGCAUGUGUGCAAGUCUAAGGGUCUCACAAAACCCGAAGGCGAAGUGAAAGCAAGACUGUGGCGGGGGAGCUACGGCAAACCCGCCGGCCUAGUGGCGCGUGCGUCGCCUGGCUUUUAGCAGAGCUGAUCCUGUUUUCUCGGUUAAUUCUUGGUGCAGGCGCAAGCUCCGGGCUCACGUACAACACUGGUCACGCCUCGCG
RNAcentral lists this ribosomal RNA (769 nucleotides) under Niphargus stygius. RNAcentral describes it as "partial large subunit ribosomal RNA". Lineage: Eukaryota; Metazoa; Arthropoda; Malacostraca; Amphipoda; Niphargidae. The record is from RNAcentral.